RNAcentral lists this ribosomal RNA (2665 nucleotides) under Salmonella enterica subsp. enterica serovar Enteritidis. Its description in RNAcentral is "partial 23S ribosomal RNA". It matches the Rfam family "Bacterial large subunit ribosomal RNA". The record is from RNAcentral. Lineage: Bacteria; Pseudomonadati; Pseudomonadota; Gammaproteobacteria; Enterobacterales; Enterobacteriaceae.
UACCCGAAUGGGGAAACCCAGUGUGAUUCGUCACACUAUCAUUAACUGAAUCCAUAGGUUAAUGAGGCGAACCGGGGGAACUGAAACAUCUAAGUACCCCGAGGAAAAGAAAUCAACCGAGAUUCCCCCAGUAGCGGCGAGCGAACGGGGAGGAGCCCAGAGCCUGAAUCAGCAUGUGUGUUAGUGGAAGCGUCUGGAAAGGCGCGCGAUACAGGGUGACAGCCCCGUACACAAAAGCGCAUGUGCUGUGAGCUCGAUGAGUAGGGCGGGACACGUGGUAUCCUGUCUGAAUAUGGGGGGACCAUCCUCCAAGGCUAAAUACUCCUGACUGACCGAUAGUGAACCAGUACCGUGAGGGAAAGGCGAAAAGAACCCCGGCGAGGGGAGUGAAAAAGAACCUGAAACCGUGUACGUACAAGCAGUGGGAGCACCCUUUGGGUGUGACUGCGUACCUUUUGUAUAAUGGGUCAGCGACUUAUAUUCUGUAGCAAGGUUAACCGAAUAGGGGAGCCGGAGGGAAACCGAGUCUUAACCGGGCGUUAAGUUGCAGGGUAUAGACCCGAAACCCGGUGAUCUAGCCAUGGGCAGGUUGAAGGUUGGGUAACACUAACUGGAGGACCGAACCGACUAAUGUUGAAAAAUUAGCGGAUGACCUGUGGCUGGGGGUGAAAGGCCAAUCAAACCGGGAGAUAGCUGGUUCUCCCCGAAAGCUAUUUAGGUAGCGCCUCGUGAAUUCAUCUCCGGGGGUAGAGCACUGUUUCGGCUAGGGGGCCAUCCCGGCUUACCAACCCGAUGCAAACUGCGAAUACCGGAGAAUGUUAUCACGGGAGACACACGGCGGGUGCUAACGUCCGUCGUGAAGAGGGAAACAACCCAGACCGCCAGCUAAGGUCCCAAAGUCAUGGUUAAGUGGGAAACGAUGUGGGAAGGCCCAGACAGCCAGGAUGUUGGCUUAGAAGCAGCCAUCAUUUAAAGAAAGCGUAAUAGCUCACUGGUCGAGUCGGCCUGCGCGGAAGAUGUAACGGGGCUAAACCAUGCACCGAAGCUGCGGCAGCGACACUGUGUGUUGUUGGGUAGGGGAGCGUUCUGUAAGCCUGUGAAGGUGUGUCGUGAGGCAUGCUGGAGGUAUCAGAAGUGCGAAUGCUGACAUAAGUAACGAUAAAGCGGGUGAAAAGCCCGCUCGCCGGAAGACCAAGGGUUCCUGUCCAACGUUAAUCGGGGCAGGGUGAGUCGACCCCUAAGGCGAGGCCGAAAGGCGUAGUCGAUGGGAAACGGGUUAAUAUUCCCGUACUUGGUGUUACUGCGAAGGGGGGACGGAGAAGGCUAUGUUGGCCGGGCGACGGUUGUCCCGGUUUAAGCGUGUAGGUGUGUGUUCCAGGUAAAUCCGGUUCACUUUAACACUGAGGCGUGACGACGAGGCACUACGGUGCUGAAGCAACAAAUGCCCUGCUUCCAGGAAAAGCCUCUAAGCAUCAGGUAACAUCAAAUCGUACCCCAAACCGACACAGGUGGUCAGGUAGAGAAUACCAAGGCGCUUGAGAGAACUCGGGUGAAGGAACUAGGCAAAAUGGUGCCGUAACUUCGGGAGAAGGCACGCUGACACGUAGGUGAAGUGAUUUACUCAUGGAGCUGAAGUCAGUCGAAGAUACCAGCUGGCUGCAACUGUUUAUUAAAAACACAGCACUGUGCAAACACGAAAGUGGACGUAUACGGUGUGACGCCUGCCCGGUGCCGGAAGGUUAAUUGAUGGGGUCAGCGCAAGCGAAGCUCCUGAUCGAAGCCCCGGUAAACGGCGGCCGUAACUAUAACGGUCCUAAGGUAGCGAAAUUCCUUGUCGGGUAAGUUCCGACCUGCACGAAUGGCGUAAUGAUGGCCAGGCUGUCUCCACCCGAGACUCAGUGAAAUUGAACUCGCUGUGAAGAUGCAGUGUACCCGCGGCAAGACGGAAAGACCCCGUGAACCUUUACUAUAGCUUGACACUGAACAUUGAGCCUUGAUGUGUAGGAUAGGUGGGAGGCUUUGAAGUGUGGACGCCAGUCUGCAUGGAGCCGACCUUGAAAUACCACCCUUUAAUGUUUGAUGUUCUAACGUGGACCCGUUACCCGGGUUGCGGACAGUGUCUGGUGGGUAGUUUGACUGGGGCGGUCUCCUCCUAAAGAGUAACGGAGGAGCACGAAGGUUGGCUAAUCCUGGUCGGACAUCAGGAGGUUAGUGCAAUGGCAUAAGCCAGCUUGACUGCGAGCGUGACGGCGCGAGCAGGUGCGAAAGCAGGUCAUAGUGAUCCGGUGGUUCUGAAUGGAAGGGCCAUCGCUCAACGGAUAAAAGGUACUCCGGGGAUAACAGGCUGAUACCGCCCAAGAGUUCAUAUCGACGGCGGUGUUUGGCACCUCGAUGUCGGCUCAUCACAUCCUGGGGCUGAAGUAGGUCCCAAGGGUAUGGCUGUUCGCCAUUUAAAGUGGUACGCGAGCUGGGUUUAGAACGUCGUGAGACAGUUCGGUCCCUAUCUGCCGUGGGCGCUGGAGAACUGAGGGGGGCUGCUCCUAGUACGAGAGGACCGGAGUGGACGCAUCACUGGUGUUCGGGUUGUCAUGCCAAUGGCACUGCCCGGUAGCUAAAUGCGGAAGAGAUAAGUGCUGAAAGCAUCUAAGCACGAAACUUGCCCCGA